RNAcentral lists this ribosomal RNA (440 nucleotides) under uncultured bacterium. Its description in RNAcentral is "partial 16S ribosomal RNA". It matches the Rfam family "Bacterial small subunit ribosomal RNA", at positions 338 to 795 of the family's 1533-position model. The record is from RNAcentral.
CCUACGGGAGGCAGCAGUGGGGGAUAUUGCACAAUGGGGGAAACCCUGAUGCAGCGACGCCGCGUGGGUGAAGAAGCGCCUCGGCGCGUAAAGCCCUGUCAGCAGGGAAGAAAAUGACGGUACCUGAAGAAGAAGCCCCGGCUAACUACGUGCCAGCAGCCGCGGUAAUACGUAGGGGGCAAGCGUUAUCCGGAUUUACUGGGCGUAAAGGGGGCGCAGACGGCGAUGCAAGCCAGGAGUGAAAGCCCGGGGCCCAACCCCGGGAAUGCUCUUGGAACUGCGUGGCUAGAGUGCAGGAGGGGCGGGCGGAAUUCCUGGUGUAGCGGUGAAAUGCGUAGAUAUCAGGAGGAACACCGGUGGCGAAGGCGGCCUGCUGGACUGCAACUGACGUUGAGGCCCGAAAGCGUGGGGAGCAAACAGGAUUAGAUACCCGAGUAGUC